This 1400-nucleotide ribosomal RNA is filed under the name uncultured organism. RNAcentral describes it as "bacterial SSU rRNA". It matches the Rfam family "Bacterial small subunit ribosomal RNA". The record is from RNAcentral.
UGGUAUGCUUAACACAUGCAAGUCGAACGAAGAUUGAUAGCUUGCUAUGAAUUUUAGUGGCGGACGGGUGAGUAAUGCAUAGGAAUCUGCCGUAUAGAGGGGGAUAACAGUUGGAAACGACUGCUAAUACCGCAUAAUGCCUUUGGGUUAAAGGGUAGCUUUUGCUGUCGCUAUACGAUGAGCCUAUGUUGGAUUAGCUAGUUGGUGGGGUAAGGGCCUACCAAGGCGACGAUCCAUAGCUGUUCUGAGAGGAAGAUCAGCCACACUGGGACUGAGACACGGCCCAGACUCCUACGGGAGGCAGCAGUGGGGAAUAUUGGACAAUGGGGGCAACCCUGAUCCAGCAAUACCAUGUGUGUGAAGAAGGCCUUAGGGUUGUAAAGCACUUUAGUUAGGGAGGAAAGCGAUUUGGUUAAGAGCUGGAUUGUGUGGCGUUACCUAAAGAAUAAGCACCGGCUAACUCCGUGCCAGCAGCCGCGGUAAUACGGAGGGUGCGAGCGUUAAUCGGAAUUACUGGGCGUAAAGGGUUCGUAGGUGGUUAGAUAAGUCAGAUGUGAAAGGCCUGGGCUCAACCUGGGAAUUGCAUUUGAUACUGUUUAACUAGAGUUCGGUAGAGGAUUGAGGAAUUUCCGGUGUAGCGGUGAAAUGCGUAGAGAUCGGAAGGAACAUCAAUGGCGAAGGCAACAAUCUGGGCCUGAACUGACACUGAGGGACGAAAGCGUGGGUAGCAAACAGGAUUAGAUACCCUGGUAGUCCAUGCUGUAAACGAUGAGUACUUGCUGUUGGCUCUGGUGUAAAAGAGUUAGUGGCGCAGUUAACGCGAUAAGUACUCCGCCUGGGGACUACGGCCGCAAGGCUAAAACUCAAAGGAAUUGACGGGGACCCGCACAAGCGGUGGAGCAUGUGGUUUAAUUCGAUGCAACGCGAAGAACCUUACCUACCCUUGACAUCCACGGAACGGUUGAGAGAUUGACUGGUGCCUUCGGGAGCCGUGAGACAGGUGCUGCAUGGCUGUCGUCAGCUCGUGUUGUGAAAUGUUGGGUUAAGUCCCGCAACGAGCGCAACCCUUAUUUUUAGUUGCCAUCGGGUAAAGCUGGGCACUCUAAAGAGACUGCCGCUGAUAAGGCGGAGGAAGGUGGGGAUGAUGUCAAGUCAUCAUGGCCCUUACGGGUAGGGCUACACACGUGCUACAAUGGGCAUUACAAAGGGAUGCGAAACUGCGAAGUCGAGCGAAACUCAGAAAGGUGUUCGUAGUUCGGAUUGAUCUCUGCAACUCGAGAUCAUGAAGUCGGAAUCGCUAGUAAUCGUGGAUCAGCAUGCCACGGUGAAUACGUUCUCGGGUCUUGUACACACCGCCCGUCACACCAUGGGAGUGGGUUGCAAAAGAAGUAGAUAGUUUA